UUGGAGGGCAAGUCUGGUGCCAGCAGCCGCGGUAAUUCCAGCUCCAAUAGCGUAUAUUAAAGUUGUUGCAGUUAAAAAGCUCGUAGUUGAAUUUCGGGAUUAGUACGUUGGUCGUGCCUUCGGUACGUACUGGUGUUACUGAUUCCUACCUUCCGACGAACCAUCAUGUCAUUAAUUUGGUGUGGUGGGGAAUCAGGACUGUUACUUUGAAAAAAUUAGAGUGUUUAAAGCAAGCUAACGCUUGAAUACAUUAGCAUGGAAUAAUGAAAUAGGACGUUCGAUCCUAUUUUGUUGGUUUCUAGGAUUGACGUAAUGAUUAAUAGGGAUAGUUGGGGGCAUUAGUAUUCAAUUGUCAGAGGUGAAAUUCUUGGAUUUAUUGAAGACUAACUACUGCGAAAGCAUUUGCCAAGGAUGUUUUCAUUAAUCAGGAACGAAAGUUAGGGGAUCGAAGAUGAUCAGAUACCGUCGUAGUCUUAACCAUAAACUAUGCCGACUAGGGAUCGGACGAUGUUAUUUUUUUGACUCGUUCGGCACCUUACGGGAAAC
Molecule: ribosomal RNA, 546 nt
Filed under: uncultured Glomus
Lineage: Eukaryota; Fungi; Glomeromycota; Glomeromycetes; Glomerales; Glomeraceae
Description: SSU rRNA
Rfam family: Eukaryotic small subunit ribosomal RNA
Source: RNAcentral